GACGAACGCUGGCGGCGUGCUUAACACAUGCAAGUCGAACGGAAAGGCCCUGCUGUUGUGGGGUUCUCGAGUGGCGAACGGGUGAGUAACACGUGAGUAACCUGGCCUUGACUUUGGGAUAACUUCAGGAAACUGGGGCUAAUACCGGAUAGGAGCUCCUGCUGCAUGGUGGGGGUUGGAAAGUUUCGGCGGUUGGGGAUGGACUCGCGGCUUAUCAGCUUGUUGGUGGGGUAGUGGCUUACCAAGGCUUUGACGGGUAGCCGGCCGGAGAGGGUGACCGGCCACAUUGGGACUGAGAUACGGACCAGACUCCUACGGGCGGCAGCAGUGAGGAAUAUUGCACAAUGGGCGGAAGCAUGAUGCAGCAACGCCGCGUGCGGGAUGACGGCCUUCGGGUUGUAAACCGCUUUCGCCUGUGACGAAGCGUGAGUGACGGUAAUGGGUAAAGAAGCACCGGCUAACUACGUG
This 468-nucleotide ribosomal RNA is filed under the name uncultured bacterium. Its description in RNAcentral is "partial 16S ribosomal RNA". It matches the Rfam family "Bacterial small subunit ribosomal RNA", at positions 28 to 507 of the family's 1533-position model. The record is from RNAcentral.